Molecule: long non-coding RNA, 639 nt
Organism: Zingiber officinale
Lineage: Eukaryota; Viridiplantae; Streptophyta; Magnoliopsida; Zingiberales; Zingiberaceae
Exons: 4
Source: RefSeq, a predicted model, not a curated record
UCUAAAACCAUCCUCCAUGAAAAACCUAGCUCAAUUCAUGUCCGCCAAAACUCAUAUACACGAAAAACCUAGCCUCCAACACUCCACAAGAAACCCAUCUCCCCCAAAACCCCCCUCCACGCGAUCGCCACUCCAAGCUUUGGCUCGACUAGAGAGAGAGCUCCUCGAAUCCUCGAUCGAAACCAUUCACCUUCUCUACCUCCCAGCACGCUGCUGCCGCUAAGCUCGCUAUCUCCUAGCACGUGAAUCAGAGCCCUACCGGAGGAAAGAAGCUUGCAGGAGAGAAACUUGGAGGGGCCCAUUGUGUCUCGUUGAUCUUGUUUGAGUGAAGGAGGUAGAAAAUGAUAUCUUAGAAGAUGUAUAAGAGUGGAAAUUUGAUCCAACAAUUGAAGAACAAGAGAUUUCUUUAGCAUGGAUCCAUAUUUUCAGAAUUUUGGAAGUGGAAUGGAGAAUCAAUAUUUUCAGCCUGAGUAUGAAAGUGCUCAAGGACAAUUUGUGGAGUCAUAUCCAGCCUACCAGAGUUCAUAUGGAUUUCAAGAGGUUUCAACAAAUUUUAUGCCACAAUCUUUUCAACAGAACGAUCCUCAGAUGGAUGAGUCAGCAUGGAAAUUAAGGGAGAUUAUGCAACAAAUGAGUGAG